Ixodes scapularis (black-legged tick) is the source of this 1087-nucleotide long non-coding RNA. RefSeq lists it as uncharacterized. The transcript has 2 exons. NCBI's taxonomy places the organism in Eukaryota, Metazoa, Arthropoda, Arachnida, Ixodida, Ixodidae. The record is from RefSeq and is a predicted model, not a curated record.
GGGGAGUGCUUUUUUUGGAAGGGCUCCCAGUGGUCUUCGCUGGCUGCGGGCCCGAUCUGGGCCCAGGGUUCCUGCUCCGCGUCACUUCCCGGUCCGCGUCUAGGCCUACUCGUCCAGCGCAUUCGCCUCAGGCCGGGCGAUGGCCAUCCGACGUAAAAAGCCGGGCGUGCCCCCGCGCCUGCCCGACGCCAAGAGCCACCGGGCGGGGAGCAGGGCGCGGUCCAGCAACCGGGUUGUGUUCGAGGCGCUCUCCUGCGGGCCGCAGCCCCAGGAGCAGGCACGGACAGAGCCCCCGGGGGCCCCAGCAGGGCAUCCCGAGGCUGAGGAGGCGCCGCCGGCAGACAGCGGAAGCUCCGAGUCGCCCCAGGAGACCAGGCUGCAGAACCGGCUGCGCAACAACUGGUCCAAGCUGGUCACGGACAAGAUGACCGUCAUGGCCUUUGCCCGCUCCCUCAAGGGACACAGGUGUCCAGCCGUCUUCUACUACCGCAGUUGAGGCCGGCCAGUCGACCCAGUCGACGCGACGUUGCUGCCAGCGAGACGCGCCUCGUGUUGUGUGCAGGAUCGGCGCACUACCGCACGGCGUCCUUAGGUACAUGAGACACAGCUCCAACUUGGCUUUCCGGCGAACUCUCUUCGUUCUUUUUUUUCCUAAAGUGCGCACUUUUCCUCGAUACAAUCAGUGGCGGCUCGUAAAGGAACAAGAGAGCGGUCUGCAGCCAUCCGCGUAGUGUACCCCAAAGUUUAUGUCUAGGGGGCAGCGACGUACAGGAUUUGUCAAAGGUACUCCAGCAUUGCACUGAAGAUAGUAUUACAAUUAGUCGUGCCAAAAUAUAUCGGAGUUACGUGUAUCGCGACUUCUAUCAAAACAUACCUAUAUAUACCCAAUUGCAAGCGCGACAUACCCGCCCGCUGUCGUGUCUGUACUCGUGUGGGCAAGCACGUGGGGCUGCAAGUCUGCCAAAGCUAGCUCCGCGCGCAUCUGCACGGGAUAGCACGCAGGGGGCGCCGUGCGUGAAAUUUCGCAUGGAUGCAGUUAAUUUAAAGCUAUUUCUUUGCACUCCACAAAUAAAAGGAUGACAAUUAU